CAGAGAACAUUGCCCUCACGGGUGACUCUCCAACCCAAUGUUAUAUUAUACCUUUGUUGCUUUGGCGAGCCGUCUCGGCCACCGGCUCACGCUGGUGAGUGCCCGCCAGAGGACCCUAAACUCUGAAUGUUAAUGUCGUCUGAGUACUAUAUAAUAGUUA
Molecule: unclassified non-coding RNA, 160 nt
Filed under: uncultured Xenochalara
Lineage: Eukaryota; Fungi; Ascomycota
Description: sequence contains ITS1
Source: RNAcentral